Long non-coding RNA from Sphaerodactylus townsendi, 141 nucleotides. RefSeq lists it as uncharacterized. NCBI's taxonomy places the organism in Eukaryota, Metazoa, Chordata, Lepidosauria, Squamata, Sphaerodactylidae. The record is from RefSeq and is a predicted model, not a curated record. The transcript is spliced from 4 exons.
GGUACCUUUCUCUCCUGCUUGAGGCCCGGUGGCGUAGAGCAAUCAUUUUAGCUAGGUGUAAUGUCCUGCCUACUUCCUUUAGCCUUGGACGCCACCUUGGAAUUCCACAUAAAGAAAGGAAAUGCCUGUGUGGCAUGGGUU